UCUGUUAAGAGUUAUGAAUGGCAAUAAAAGUAUAAUUUUAUUGCUAUAUGGGGUGUUAUCGGAUCAAAUGGGUAGGCUCAAGACGAGCGGCUAAAAUAUACGGAAACAACACAUGAGCAAUGAAACAUAAAAUAUACGGAAACAACACAUGCACCAGUGGCGAAUCGGGGGGGGGGGGGGGGGGUUCCGGGGGGUUGGAACCCCCCUUUCUUUUUGCCGAUCAAUGCAUUUGAAUGGGAGCAUAUAGUUGGAACCCCUCCCCUUUUACUCUGGGUUGGGAACCCCCCUUUAUAAAAUGGCUGGAUCCGCCACUGUGAACAAUGAACAAUUUAAACAAUGGAAAUAGAAAAUUGAUAAAAACGGUUUCAAAAAGUGUAAUAUUAAAGUAAUGUUAAUUUCAUCCAAGAAUGGUCGCAUAUGUCAUGUGGAUUCUGUUUAAUUGUCAUGCAUGACACCAACUUGUCAUCUACAUUGGUAACCAGUAUAUAAGUCAGAGAUAAACGUCGUAAUGUAACUAAACAUCAGUAAGUAAAAUAUAUUGGGAUGCUAAAAUAUAAAGAAUAGAGAAAGAAUAAUGAGUAAGAUAAAUAAAAGGUAAAAGGAAAAAACGUCACGGAAGAAACGUGACAUAACAAUUUAAAGAAUACAGAAAUAAACAACACCCCCAAUCCGAACCCUCAUGGUAUACACGAUAAUCUGGAUGGAGUAGCAAAAUAUAGAAUAAUAGAUAAGGACAGUAGAGAGUGAUACAUUGCUAAAAAAGAGAGAAAAAAAUAAUAAUUGUUUAAGAAUACAC
This 796-nucleotide long non-coding RNA is filed under the name Mytilus galloprovincialis (Mediterranean mussel). Lineage: Eukaryota; Metazoa; Mollusca; Bivalvia; Mytilida; Mytilidae. The record is from RNAcentral.